Molecule: unclassified non-coding RNA, 688 nt
Filed under: Hevea brasiliensis (rubber tree)
Lineage: Eukaryota; Viridiplantae; Streptophyta; Magnoliopsida; Malpighiales; Euphorbiaceae
Source: RNAcentral
GUCCUCAUUCUGAUUUUCUUUAUGAUCUUGCUAGAAGGGGACAUCCUGUUAUUGAUUCCAGCCAGCUUCUUGAUGAUAUGAGAGCACAGAAAGUAAUCAGAUUUCAAGAUUCCAGCCAAAACUGGUUGACGUAUUGGUGAAAGCUUAUGUUACAAAGAAGUGUUUGGAAUACAAGUAUGAUUCCUGGAUAGUAGACACAAACAUACUUUUUGUCAAUAAUGAUUUAUUUCAUGAGUUCAUCAAAACAUGUAAUUAUGACUUUUGUGCUGGGAAAAGCUUGGAGAUUUUCUUUGUCAGGAGCUCAUCUUCUGCUCAAAAAAUUUGGACUGAUGGUUUCUUGAACAAGGUUGCUGCUGCAGUUGGUCAGGCUUCAUUGCCCAGAGAGAGUAGAAACUUUGUUCAAUUUGUGGAAAAGUUGUUGCAACAGACUGGUGCAAGAAUUAACCGGGUUGAUGAGACAAGCUUUGGCAUGAAGAUUAGUGCCAAUAGCGUUAAUCAAUCCUCUUUGGAGGCUGCGAAGAUGGUUUAUUGGUCUAUGGAUAUGGGUCUGAAUUUAGUUCAAAAGCCGCUUGAAGGAUUGGGUAUGUGGGCUCUAGAUGGUGACUCUUCCUGCAAGGCUGUUGUUUGCCACCAAUCAUAGCCUUUGAUGGUGGACUUUUUUUUUGUUUUUUUUUUUGUAAGCUUUACC